RNAcentral lists this ribosomal RNA (490 nucleotides) under uncultured bacterium. RNAcentral describes it as "partial 16S ribosomal RNA". It matches the Rfam family "Bacterial small subunit ribosomal RNA", at positions 30 to 507 of the family's 1533-position model. The record is from RNAcentral.
AUUGAACGCUGGCGGCAGGCCUAACACAUGCAAGUCGAGCGGUAACAGGAAGAAGCUUGCUUCUUUGCUGACGAGUGGCGGACGGGUGAGUAAUGUCUGGGAAACUGCCUGAUGGAGGGGGAUAACUACUGGAAACGGUAGCUAAUACCGCAUAACGUCGCAAGACCAAAAAGGGGGACCUUCGGGCCUCUUGCCAUCGGAUGUGCCCAGAUGGGAUUAGCUAGUAGGUGGGGUAACGGCUCACCUAGGCGACGAUCCCUAGCUGGUCUGAGAGGAUGACCAGCCACACUGGAACUGAGACACGGUCCAGACUCCUACGGGAGGCAGCAGUGGGGAAUAUUGCACAAUGGGCGCAAGCCUGAUGCAGCCAUGCCGCGUGUAUGAAGAAGGCCUUCGGGUUGUAAAGUACUUUCAGCGUGGAGGAAGGGAGUAAAGUUAAUACCUUUGCUCAUUGACGUUACCCGCAGAAGAAGCACCGGCUAACUCCGUG